Raphanus sativus (radish) is the source of this 1129-nucleotide long non-coding RNA. RefSeq lists it as uncharacterized. Lineage: Eukaryota; Viridiplantae; Streptophyta; Magnoliopsida; Brassicales; Brassicaceae. The transcript is spliced from 2 exons. The record is from RefSeq and is a predicted model, not a curated record.
UCUUCAUUCUUGUUGAUCUGUGCAUUUAACCUUUUGAUUUUCUGGAUUUUGUUGAAUUCAGUUAGAAAAAAAGUUUCUGGAAUUGAAUUUGAUCGAUUUAUGACGUGGGUAUUAUAAUUAUUGGUCUAUUGAUUCGAGAGUUUUAAGAAAGUUGGAAACUUGCAAUUGCGGUUCUUCAUCUGGGUAGAUCUAGAUCCCGAGUAUCAUGUUGAGAACAGAGCAUUUGGUUUACAUUUGAGUAAGCUUUAGUUACUAUUUGUUAAGCUCUUGAUCCUGGCUCUUGAUCCUGGCUCUUCCUUCUUGGAGCUCUCUCAGGUUUUGCAUUCUUGACCUCAUUGUUCAUUGACGAUUAAUGUUGAGUGAGAGAAGUGUCUAAUAAGAGGAGAGCAUUGUUGAAUGUAGUUACAGAGCUUUAUUGAUUGCUUCCCACUGGAAAUUGAUUUAUCAUUUGUGUUUUUAACUGUUUCUACACUCUGAAUAUUUUUGAUCUCUUUGCUUACUGGAUAUGAAUAUACUUUUUGAAGCUUGCAGGACAUGAACUGUAGCCAUUACCAUCAGGCGGCAUCAUCACAGGGAUAGGACCAAUCCAUGGUCAUCUCUGUAUGUUCAUGGCAAACGACCCCACAGUUAAAGGAAGCUGUGAAAAGGAACCAAAGUAGAAACAAGCUUUUGCUUAGAGAAAGGAUUGAUAAGCUUCUUGAUCCUGGUUCUUCCUUCUUGGAGCUCUCUCAGGUUUCUAGACUCCUGGUAAAUGGAUCAAGACUCUGCUUCUCGGGAAGAAGUCACCAAAGUCUAAUCUGGCUGUGUCGGUGAAGGAUGGUUUUUCCAAGUUAUCCCUUGAUCCUCCUCUUGUGCCUUCUUCACAACCGGAUACUGCUUCAACUGCUCAAAAUGUAGUGGUUGACCCAAGCAACGGUGAUGACUUUCUGUGAGUUCUCUCUUCAUCUUUAACAGUCUCGUCUCUGCCCCCAUGUAAGCGUUUGUCUGCUGAUAUAAGCAUUUGUCUGCUUUGCUUUAGAGAGUUAAUGAAAGUAUCGUCCUUGUAUUGAUUAAGAAGACUAUAGUUUCACUGAUUAGGCUUUGUCAGAUUCGUUAAGAGAUUUGUAAUUGCUAUAUCACUUGAUGGAAA